GAUGAACGCUGGCGGCGUGCUUAACACAUGCAAGUCGAACGAAGAUGCCGGAGUGCUUGCACUUUGGCAGACUGAGUGGCGGACGGGUGAGUAACGCGUGGGUAACCUGCCCUUAUACAGGGGGAUAACAGUUGGAAACGACUGCUAAUACCGCAUAAGCGCACGGUAUCGCAUGAUACAGUGUGAAAAACUCCGGUGGUAUAAGAUGGACCCGCGUCUGAUUAGCUAGUUGGUGAGGUAACGGCCCACCAAGGCGACGAUCAGUAGCCGGCCUGAGAGGGUGAACGGCCACAUUGGGACUGAGACACGGCCCAAACUCCUACGGGAGGCAGCAGUGGGGAAUAUUGCACAAUGGGGGAAACCCUGAUGCAGCGACGCCGCGUGAGUGAUGAAGUAUUUCGGUAUGUAAAACUCUAUCAGCAGGGAAGAUAAUGACGGUACCUGACUAAGAAGCACCGGCUAAAUACGUGCCAGCAGCCGCGGU
This 484-nucleotide ribosomal RNA is filed under the name uncultured bacterium. RNAcentral describes it as "bacterial SSU rRNA". It matches the Rfam family "Bacterial small subunit ribosomal RNA", at positions 28 to 521 of the family's 1533-position model. The record is from RNAcentral.